This 362-nucleotide ribosomal RNA is filed under the name uncultured Bdellovibrionales bacterium. RNAcentral's name for it is "bacterial SSU rRNA". It matches the Rfam family "Bacterial small subunit ribosomal RNA", at positions 1019 to 1382 of the family's 1533-position model. Lineage: Bacteria; Pseudomonadati; Bdellovibrionota; Bdellovibrionia; Bdellovibrionales. The record is from RNAcentral.
CAAGGGAGCCGAGAGACAGUGCUGCAUGGCUGUCGUCAGCUCGUGCCGUGAGGUGUUGGGUUAAGUCCCGUAACGAGCGCAACCCCUGCCUUUAGUUGCGACCGGUAACGCCGAGCACUCUAAAGGGACUGCCUGGGAUAACCAGGAGGAAGGCGGGGAUGACGUCAAGUCAGCAUGGCCCUUACGUCCAGGGCUACACACGUGCUACAAUGGCCGGUACAGAGGGAAGCAAUACCGCGAGGUGGAGCAAAUCCCAUAAAGCCGGCCUCAGUUCAGAUCGGAGGCUGCAACUCGCCUCCGUGAAGGCGGAAUCGCUAGUAAUCGCGGAUCAGCAGGCCGCGGUGAAUACGUUCCCGGGCCUU